UUUGUAAAGAUAAACUAAAAUGAAAUUGUAAAAAAAAAAAAAAGCUAAAGUGUAAAAAGAACAUGUUUUAGGGUAAUGAGUGACAUGCAAUUUUCUAUAUGAUAGACUAAAGGUGUUUCCCUAACAAAAAAAAAAAGACUAAAGGUGUUCAUUCGGAUACUUGAGUCGGGUUUGAUCGAGUCGGGUUUCAUCUAUUUCAAAAUUAAGUCGGACUAAAUUAUUGUGUCCAUAUAAAUUGAAUUUUAAAUCGAAUUUUUUAAGUUAGAUCGAAUCGAGUCGAUAUUUUGACACCUCAAUACUCCGUAAUAUGAAAAUGAAUUAUUUAACGCAGCAAAAAGUUGAAAAAAAAAAAAAAAAAAAAAACAGAGAUCACACAAGUCACAAAACACAAAAACGUUCACACAAACUUUAUUGACUUGAGAAGCAAGGUACACAAAAAUGGUGGGCCCAAAGUAGAAACCCAUCAUAAUUAAAAAAAACCUAAAAAAAGAAACCCGUUUUAGAAACACCGUCAAGUACGGGCGGGUUAUUUACCGAUUACCAUCAUUAAGGUAACCUACAAACGUGUCAAAAUCCUAGUCGUCUGUUACUCCUUAUAAUAACCAACUUAAAUCUUUCUCUCUCCUCAAAAACACAUAGUUGUUAGAUUAGAUUAGCUGAAAAUAGGUAUAGCCUCAGGAAAUCAACAGCACAAAACCAAAACUAGACUUUUUUUUUUUUUUUCACUAUAAAGAGAUUCUCUCUCAUUUGCUUACAUUCACAAAUCUAGAGAGAGAAAGUUGUGAUUUUAUUAGAGAGAGAAAGAGCGGCGAAGAUAGAUUUGCGGCAGCCUCUGAUUCGCUUGGUGCAGGUCGGGAACUGGUUGAAAUUAAUGUUCCGCCGCCGUAGUAGCCGCCGCGUAAUCAGCGGCGUGAGUUUAAUUGUUUCUGCUUAGCCGGUGGUAUUCCGGAUCCCGCCUUGCAUCAACUGAAUCGGAGUCUGUGAGAUAUCACGAAACUAGAUCUCUAUCUUCAAUUUUUAUGUGGCUGGUGCUGGUUCUCAAAGGUCUAAAAUUAAGACAUGACGGUCAAGGAAGCCUAGUAGAUGCUGUUGGUUGCCUUCUUAAGUCAUCAUCGAUGUAACUUGUUCCACAUCUCAGAUGUUGAAAAUAGCAGCUCCUGGAUUCAACCAUGUUGUUGGCAGAAUAAAUGGCUAGAGAUGGCUAUCGAGUGAGAAACUCCAUAAGUUGUCCAAGAUUUGCUUAAGAUGAUGCUUUAAAGUUGAAAACGGAACACCUUUGAUCUGUUUCAUUCAGAUCAUGCAGUGUUCUGAGAAACCCAAAAGACAUCAUGGAAAGUUUCAAAAAAUUUGGACCAUGGAGCUGCACCAACUAAUGUUUCUAUCAUUACGUAUAUUGUGUGUGUCACCCAAAAGUUAACUCUAAACUUUGAUUGGAAAUUUACCUGAUAGCCCUGCAGUAUUUGAGCCUGUUUUUCUGAAAGAGGCCGAUGUCCAGUGAUGUGCGUCAUGAUUACAGAUGGAUCUAUCUAUUAUGUGGUGAAUGAAGGCCGGCAGGGGUGACCUGAGAACACAUGUGCACCACAGGAUAGCAACCUACCCAGAACCCUGAGCUAAACCACCCUUAAAUAGGUGAUCUGGUUUGGGAAGGUGCAUAUGCCUCAGCCAUGUGGUCUCAGGUCGCUCCUGUGGGACUUCACCACCUGUUAUAAUACAAACUAUUUUCAUAAUUUCAUGAUAUUGUGCUGAAUUGUUGGUAAUUGUUACUAAGAUUUCUGGAUGUUGUUUUUAUAGUGCAACCAGAAUAGUACACGAGUACUCCAGUGUUGUACUACAUGAAAUGUUGUGGUACUACUGUACUAGCUUUGGGAGUUGUACAAGUCACCUCAGAGUUUCAGUUUGUACUACUAGUCUACUACUGAUGAUGUGGUACUAACGAACUCUAGAGAGUUGUAUAAGAUCUUCUAAUUUGUACCA
Chenopodium quinoa (quinoa) is the source of this 1974-nucleotide long non-coding RNA. RefSeq lists it as uncharacterized. The record is from RefSeq and is a predicted model, not a curated record. The transcript has 2 exons. Lineage: Eukaryota; Viridiplantae; Streptophyta; Magnoliopsida; Caryophyllales; Amaranthaceae.